AAACGCGGCCUGGAUCGCGCCGGGGCCGCCGCCGCCGCUCGCAGGCGCCCCGCGGUAGCCAAAAAUGGAAGGAAACACAUCUGUAACGCAUUUGUGUGAUGUUCACCUUUGAGACCGCGCGGCUGGAUGGAGGCGGUGUUGCUGUUUCCCGUACACCUCGCCUUGGACAUGACCGUGACCACAGGCAGCGUCUGAGAGAUCGUGUGACCCUCUUGGGCACUGACUUCCUUCCUAGAUCUCAGAGUGGAGUCUGGCAGAAAGCCCGUCACAUGGUGUGGCUUCCAGCUCCAAAGUGCACCCCCCAUACGGCUACUGCACCAUGGCCACGGCCAUCACGCCCGUUUCAGCUGCCACGACCCGUCGUCUGGACCCACCUUAGCGGCCACAGCCGAUCGGGUCCCGUCUCUCCCUGCAGAGAACUUCAGAAUGGCCUUCGAUGAGAUUUAAGGUAAAAUCCGAAUUCUGUGCUGAAGCCCACGAGGCCUCCAUGAUCGAUCUGUGUGUGUUGUUUCAUAUUCUGCCCCGGUAGACUGGAGGCUCCGUGAGGGCAGGACAGGGCCGCUUUUACUCCACAAUUCAUAGCGCCUGGCGUAUAAUAGGCACUCAGUAAAUAUUUGUGGAUCGAACUCAUUUACUGACAUGCUCACACACACAUUCAUGCUACACCUGUUCACCUAGGCCCUCCUCCGGGCCGCCUCCCACACUGGUCUGGGGAAACGGGGUGAAUCAGAGGGCCCUCCUUGGCCUGCUCGGGAGUGGAUGACCCAGUACCAAGCCCAGGUUACGACGGUCUGCCCAUCAGAAUUGCCCUUUCUUACCAGACUGUGACCGUCUGAUCCUCUGUGAGUCAGGCCAGUACUGGCUUAGGGUCAGGAAUCCGGGAGAGCUCACUGGGGCUCCUGUGGGGUGUAGGAGAGAAUCCUAGCCCUCUGCCAUUGUCCUGAGCUGGCAUAUUGCACACAGCUUCUCCAUACACGUUUCCAUAGCAUCCUCACAGAACCCAUCUCGCUGGGUGCCAUCAUUACAACCAGCACGUAGGCAAAGAAGUCAAGGUUCAGAGAGGGCAGGUGACUUGUCCAAGGUCACACAGACGGGAACCAGAAUGUGUCGAGCACAUCCUGCACACCAUGCCUGGUUGCCAGCAUUCUACAUGUACUUUUAAUUUUUAAUUUUUAAUUUUAGAGAGAUAGAGAGCAUGA
Herpailurus yagouaroundi (jaguarundi) is the source of this 1199-nucleotide long non-coding RNA. RefSeq lists it as uncharacterized. NCBI's taxonomy places the organism in Eukaryota, Metazoa, Chordata, Mammalia, Carnivora, Felidae. The transcript has 3 exons. The record is from RefSeq and is a predicted model, not a curated record.